CGGGGGAGGCCGGAUCCUGGGCUGUGUCCCGGCGCCCUGUGCUCCGGAGCCUGUGCUGGUGGAUUCGCGCUCCCGCCCCGCAGCCCCCU
RNAcentral lists this microRNA precursor (89 nucleotides) under Canis lupus familiaris (dog). RNAcentral describes it as "mir-8799 microRNA precursor family". It matches the Rfam family "mir-8799 microRNA precursor family". The record is from Rfam by way of RNAcentral. Lineage: Eukaryota; Metazoa; Chordata; Mammalia; Carnivora; Canidae.